AACGAACGCUGGCGGCAUGCCUAACACAUGCAAGUCGAACGAGACCUUCGGGUCUAGUGGCGCACGGGUGCGUAACGCGUGGGAACCUGCCCUUAGGUUCGGAAUAACUCCCCGAAAGGGGUGCUAAUACCGGAUAAUGUCUUCGGACCAAAGAUUUAUCGCCUUUGGAUGGGCCCGCGUUGGAUUAGCUAGUUGGUAGGGUAAAAGCCUACCAAGGCGACGAUCCAUAGCUGGUCUGAGAGGAUGAUCAGCCAGACUGGGACUGAGACACGGCCCAGACUCCUACGGGAGGCAGCAGUGAGGAAUAUUGGACAGUGGGCGAAAGCCUGAUCCAGCAAUGCCGCGUGAGUGAUGAAGGCCUUAGGGUUGUAAAGCUCUUUUACCCGGGAUGAUAAUGACAGUACCGGGAGAAUAAGCUCCGGCUAACUCCGUG
Molecule: ribosomal RNA, 433 nt
Filed under: uncultured bacterium
Lineage: Bacteria
Description: partial 16S ribosomal RNA
Rfam family: Bacterial small subunit ribosomal RNA
Source: RNAcentral